Molecule: ribosomal RNA, 538 nt
Filed under: uncultured bacterium
Lineage: Bacteria
Description: bacterial SSU rRNA
Rfam family: Bacterial small subunit ribosomal RNA
Source: RNAcentral
AUGCAAGUCGAGCGAAGCUUUUCAGUAGUUUACUACAGAAAAUGACUGAGCGGCGAACGGGUGAGUAACGCGUGAGCAAUCCACCUUAGUUACAGGGAUAGCCCGAGGAAACUCGGAUUAAUACCUGAUAUUCUUUAUAUUUCGCAUGAAAUUAAAAGGAAAGGUCAGCCGAACUAAGAUGAGCUCGCGUUCUAUCAGCUAGUUGGUGAGGUAAAAGCUCACCAAGGCUACGACGGAUAGCUGGUCUGAGAGGACGAUCAGCCACACUGGGACUGAGACACGGCCCAGACUCCUACGGGAGGCUGCAGCAGGGAAUAUUGCGCAAUGAGCGAAAGCUUGACGCAGCGACACCGCGUGUGGGAUGACGGAUCUAGGUUUGUAAACCACUUUCAGGAGGGAAGAAAAUGACGGUACCUCCACAAGAAGCCCCGGCCAACUACGUGCCAGCAGCCGCGGUAAUACGUAGGGGGCGAGCGUUGUCCCGGAUUUAUUGGGCGUAAAGAGCUCGUAGGCGGUUCAACAAGUCGGUCGUGAAAGU